GGGUUGUAAACCGCUUUCAGCAGGAAAGAAGCCCCUUGGGGUGACGGUACCUGCAGAAGAAGUACCGGGCUAACUACGUGCCAGCAGCCGCGGUAAUACGUAGGGUACAAGCGUUGUCCGGGAAUUAUUGGGCGUAAAGAGCUCGUAGGUGGUUGGUCACGUCUGCUGUGGAAACGCAACGCUUAACGUUGCGCGUGCAGUGGGUACGGGCUGACUAGAGUGCAGUAGGGGAGUCUGGAAUUCCUGGUGUAGCGGUGAAAUGCGCAGAUAUCAGGAGGAACACCGGUGGCGAAGGCGGGACUCUGGGCUGUAACUGACACUGAGGAGCGAAAGCAUGGGGAGCGAACAGGAUUAGAUACCCUGGUAGUCCAUGCCGUAAACGUUGGGCACUAGGUGUGGGGGACAUUCCACGUUCUCCGCGCCGUAGCUAACGCAUUAAGUGCCCCGCCUGGGGAGUACGGUCGCAAGGCUAAAACUCAAAGGAAUUGACGGGGGCCCGCACAAGCGGCGGAGCAUGCGGAUUAAUUCGAUGCAACGCGAAGAACCUUACCAAGGCUUGACAUACACCAGACCGGGCUGGAAACAGUCCUUCCCCUUUGGGGUUGGUGUACAGGUGGUGCAUGGUUGUCGUCAGCUCGUGUCGUGAGAUGUUGGGUUAAGUCCCGCAACGAGCGCAACCCUCGUUCUAUGUUGCCAGCACGUAAUGGUGGGAACUCAUAGGAGACUGCCGGGGUCAACUCGGAGGAAGGUGGGGAUGACGUCAAAUCAUCAUGCCCUUUAUGUCUUGGGCUUCACGCAUGCUACAAUGGCUGGUACAGAGAGAUGCGAGACCGUGAGGUUUUAGCGAAUCCCUUAAAGCCAGUCUCAGUUCGGAUCGUAGUCUGCAAUUCGACUACGUAAUCGGAGU
Molecule: ribosomal RNA, 907 nt
Filed under: Brevibacterium sp.
Lineage: Bacteria; Bacillati; Actinomycetota; Actinomycetes; Micrococcales; Brevibacteriaceae
Description: bacterial SSU rRNA
Rfam family: Bacterial small subunit ribosomal RNA
Source: RNAcentral